Molecule: ribosomal RNA, 434 nt
Filed under: uncultured bacterium
Lineage: Bacteria
Description: partial 16S ribosomal RNA
Rfam family: Bacterial small subunit ribosomal RNA
Source: RNAcentral
AGCGAACGCUGGCGGCAGGCCUAACACAUGCAAGUCGAACGAACCUUUCGGGGUUAGUGGCGGACGGGUGUGUAACCCGUGGGAACGUGCCCUCAGGUUCGGAAUAACUCAGGGAAACGUGUGCCAAUAGCGAAUGUGCCCUUCGGGGGGAAGAUUUAUUGUCCUUAGAGCGGCCCGCGUCUGAUUAGCUAGUUGUUUGAGGUAAUGGCUCACCAAGGCGACGAUCAGUAGCUGGUCUGAGAGGAUGAUCAGCCACAUUGGGUGUGGGACACGGCCCAAACUCCUACGGGAGGCAGCAGUGGGGGAUCUUGCGCAAUGGGCGAAGGCAUGACGCAGCCCUGCCGCGUGAAUGAUGAAAGUCUUAGAAUUGUAAUAUUCUUUCACCGGGGACGAUAAUGACGGUACCCGGAGAAAAAGCCCCGGCUAACUUCGUG